Molecule: ribosomal RNA, 557 nt
Filed under: uncultured Lactobacillus sp.
Lineage: Bacteria; Bacillati; Bacillota; Bacilli; Lactobacillales; Lactobacillaceae
Description: bacterial SSU rRNA
Rfam family: Bacterial small subunit ribosomal RNA
Source: RNAcentral
AGAGUUUGAUCCUGGCUCAGGAUGAACGCCGGCGGUGUGCCUAAUACAUGCAAGUCGAGCGCACUGGCCCAACAGAAAUGACGUGCUUGCACUGAUUUGACGUUGGAUUCCCAGUGAGCGGCGGACGGGUGAGUAACACGUGGGCAACCUGCCCCAAAGCGGGGGAUAACAUUUGGAAACAGGUGCUAAUACCGCAUAACUUGGAAAACCACAUGGUUUUCCAAUAAAAGAUGGUUUCGGCUAUCACUUUGGGAUGGGCCCGCGGUGCAUUAGCUAGUUGGUAAGGUAACGGCUUACCAAGGCGAUGAUGCAUAGCCGAGUUGAGAGACUGAUCGGCCACAAUGGAACUGAGACACGGUCCAUACUCCUACGGGAGGCAGCAGUAGGGAAUCUUCCACAAUGGGCGCAAGCCUGAUGGAGCAACACCGCGUGAGUGAAGAAGGGUUUCGGCUCGUAAAACUCUGUUGUUGGAGAAGAACGUGCGUAAGAGUAACUGUUUACGCAGUGACGGUAUCCAACCAGAAAGUCACGGCUAACUACGUGCCAGCAGCCGCGGU